This 526-nucleotide ribosomal RNA is filed under the name uncultured bacterium. RNAcentral describes it as "bacterial SSU rRNA". It matches the Rfam family "Bacterial small subunit ribosomal RNA", at positions 984 to 1509 of the family's 1533-position model. The record is from RNAcentral.
ACAUCCAGAGAACUUAGCAGAGAUGCUUUGGUGCCUUCGGGAACUCUGAGACAGGUGCUGCAUGGCUGUCGUCAGCUCGUGUUGUGAAAUGUUGGGUUAAGUCCCGNAACGAGCGCAACCCUUAUCCUUUGUUGCCAGCGGCUCGGCCGGGAACUCAAAGGAGACUGCCGGUGAUAAACCGGAGGAAGGUGGGGAUGACGUCAAGUCAUCAUGGCCCUUACGGCCAGGGCUACACACGUGCUACAAUGGCGCAUACAAAGAGAAGCGACCUCGCGAGAGCAAGCGGACCUCAUAAAGUGCGUCGUAGUCCGGAUUGGAGUCUGCAACUCGACUCCAUGAAGUCGGAAUCGCUAGUAAUCGUAGAUCAGAAUGCUACGGUCGAAUACGUUCCCGGGCCUUGUACACACCGCCCGUCACACCAUGGGAGUGGGUUGCAAAAGAAGUAGGUAGCUUAACCUUCGGGAGGGCGCUUACCACUUUGUGAUUCAUGACUGGGGUGAAGUCGUAACAAGGUAGGCGUAGACGU